UGGAGAGAGAAGCCACAAGGUGAGAGGAGAGCCAGCAGGGGCUAAACCACUACGCCUGCUCCACGGCCUCACACCUCCACAUGCGACAACCUUAGGGGGCCACGGACUGAGUCACAAAGCUGAAUGGAUGUGGAGUUGCUCAUUAAGAAGAUCACAAGACCUCAAUUCUUUAAGAUGACGGACUAGGAACGAAGGAGACAUAAACAUAAAAUGAGGUUGGGGAGGAAGACCAUUUACGCUGGCCUGCUAUGCUGCAACACAAUUUUAAUAGUCUUAUAGGAGCCAGUGAGUGGGAAAACGACCAGUAACGCAGUUCACAGCCUGUAAGUUUUGUCACUGUUGUUGCUGCUGUCUACUCUGGGUGUGACAACGCUAACUGGAAUUAGGGCAGAGUGGUUCCCUAUUCCCACCCCCGGCACAGGAGAAGCAGUUGGGAGAACUGUUAGCAUGUGACUUGGGAAGAACAGGGGCAGAGCGCAGGAUAGAUUCAAUCUCCUAGAUGUUUCAAAGACUGGCAUCAGGAAAAACAGUUCUGUGUGUGUGUGUGUGUGCAUGCGCGUGAGCAGUCCAGAGAGACUAGAGGGAUGGCAUAGCGGGUGUCCAGAAAUGGAACGAUGGCUACACAAAUGAGACUUCACCCGCUUUGGCAAACCCAGAAAUGUCACCAACAGGAAGUUGCAUGAACACUUGGUGAUAUAUUCAGACAAUGGACUAUUACUCAGUAAUGAAUUUUUUUU
Sus scrofa (pig) is the source of this 737-nucleotide non-coding RNA. Lineage: Eukaryota; Metazoa; Chordata; Mammalia; Artiodactyla; Suidae. The record is from RefSeq and is a predicted model, not a curated record.